CACCAUCCCCCGUGUCUCUUUUUGCCUCUUACUUUCAGGUCAAAAUGUGAGUUCUCACAGCCACGUCUUUGCUCUGUCAUCAUGGACUCCCACCCUCUGAAACUGAAGAGGAUCCUGGAUUUUCCAGAUGGACGAGAUGAAAUCAUAAGAGUGUGUACUCAAGGAAAGAAGGCGGUCGUGAGAGAUGGCAAGCUAGGAAGAGAAACAGAGGCGGGAAUGAUUCGACUCUGAGCCAAGGAAUGCUGGCUACCAGAAAGCCAGAGGAGGCGUCGAGUAGAUUUACGCCAGACCCCUUCACAGGGUAUCAUCUUAAGAUUUUUUUCCAUCUUGACAUUCUGAACAGGCAAGUCUGCCCCUCUGUAGUACCCACUGUCCUCCAGUAUUUUUGAAGACUACAUCCAGCAAUGCUGACAGAAUCUCUGCGUUGUUCAUCAUCCUAGCAUAAAGUUCAUCUGGAUGUAGAACCUUAAAAUUACGUGAAUUCAGAAAUAGGUUUCUACGUGACAAUGACCCAGUUAUCCUGUAACCAGUGACCAGAGGGGGAUCCCCAGAUUCCUUCAUAUUCAGUGAUCAGGGCAUUACUGUUGCCCCUGUUUGUCUCUUCCCAGUUCAUAAAGUUGACUCUGUGUUGGGUCACAUGCAGUUCUUGGUGACACAAAGGGAUUUUCAGAACGGCAGAAGAGAAAUUGCAGUGUGUACCAUGAUUAUAAAAAUAAUCCUUCUGUUGGUUUGGCCAACUUUGAUGUAAUGGUUUUUGUUUUAUCUUAUUAUACUUUAUUUUGUUAUGUUG
Long non-coding RNA from Myodes glareolus (Bank vole), 790 nucleotides. RefSeq lists it as uncharacterized. Lineage: Eukaryota; Metazoa; Chordata; Mammalia; Rodentia; Cricetidae. The record is from RefSeq and is a predicted model, not a curated record.